CAGAACGAACGCUGGCGGCGCGUCUUAAGCAUGCAAGUCGAGCGGCAGGAGAUAUGCUUGCAUAUCUCCGAGAGCGGCGGACUGGUGAGUAACGCGUGGGUGACCUACCCUGAGGUUGGGGAUAGCCAUUAGAAAUAGUGGGUAAUACCGAAUAUGGUUACGGGACUGUGGUCUUGUAAAGAAAGGGGCUCCGGCCCCGCCUUGGGAUGGGCCCGCGUCCCAUUAGGUAGUUGGUGUGGUAAAGGCGCACCAAGCCCGAGAUGGGUAGCCGGCCUGAGAGGGUGAACGGCCACACUGGGACUGAGAUACGGCCCAGACUCCUACGGGAGGCAGCAGCUAAGAAUAUUCCGCAAUGGACGAAAGUCUGACGGAGCGACGCCGCGUGGAUGACGAAGGCCGGAAGGUUGUAAAAUCCUUUUGUUGCUGAAGAAUAAGCCGGGGAGGGAAUGCCCUGGUGAUGACGUAG
This 466-nucleotide ribosomal RNA is filed under the name uncultured Treponema sp. Its description in RNAcentral is "bacterial SSU rRNA". It matches the Rfam family "Bacterial small subunit ribosomal RNA", at positions 25 to 477 of the family's 1533-position model. Lineage: Bacteria; Pseudomonadati; Spirochaetota; Spirochaetia; Treponematales; Treponemataceae. The record is from RNAcentral.